ACGCACGCUGGCGGCAGGCCUAACACGUGCCAGUCGAGCGCGCCCUUCGGGGUGAGCGGCGGACGGGUGAGUAACGCGUGGGAACGUGCCCUUUUCUACGGAAUAGCCUCGGGAAACUGAGAGUAAUACCGUAUACGCCCUUUGGGGGAAAGAUUUAUCGGAAAAGGAUCGGCCCGCGUUGGAUUAGGUAGUUGGUGGGGUAAUGGCCUACCAAGCCGACGAUCCAUAGCUGGUUUGAGAGGAUGAUCAGCCACACUGGGACUGAGACACGGCCCAGACUCCUACGGGAGGCAGCAGUGGGGAAUCUUAGACAAUGGGGGCAACCCUGAUCUAGCCAUGCCGCGUGAGUGAUGAAGGCCUUAGGGUUGUAAAGCUCUUUCAGCUGGGAAGAUAAUGACGGUACCAGCAGAAGAAGCCCCGGCUAACUCCGUG
Molecule: ribosomal RNA, 432 nt
Filed under: uncultured bacterium
Lineage: Bacteria
Description: partial 16S ribosomal RNA
Rfam family: Bacterial small subunit ribosomal RNA
Source: RNAcentral